CGUAUUCAAAAUCACAAGGCAAUAAUUGCGCUUAUAGUUUAUUAGUUGACAAGAUUGCUAAAGCACCCCGUGACGGAUAUAAUACGUGGCCAAACUUAUCCAAGUUUGUUUUAGUGGAAAAACUAAGCCUAAUCCAAUAAUCCAUGAUCCAACCCAUGAGCGCUUGAAUGGUUUGUCAUUGUAACGUAUAUAUUUCCCCAUAUGAACAGCCAAAUACCCGAACCUAGCUCCGGAAUUCUUUCUUCUUUUUGAACGUUAGGCCCUGUUUAGCACAUCUUCACUCCUAAACUCCAG
This 294-nucleotide long non-coding RNA is filed under the name Setaria italica (foxtail millet). RNAcentral's name for it is "long non-coding RNA (SITA_LNC004115)". The record is from RNAcentral. Lineage: Eukaryota; Viridiplantae; Streptophyta; Magnoliopsida; Poales; Poaceae.